RNAcentral lists this microRNA (22 nucleotides) under Mus musculus (house mouse). Its description in RNAcentral is "mmu-miR-8097". Lineage: Eukaryota; Metazoa; Chordata; Mammalia; Rodentia; Muridae. The record is from miRBase by way of RNAcentral.
AACAAGGAAAAUGUCCGGGCUG